RNAcentral lists this ribosomal RNA (657 nucleotides) under uncultured bacterium. Its description in RNAcentral is "bacterial SSU rRNA". It matches the Rfam family "Bacterial small subunit ribosomal RNA", at positions 125 to 777 of the family's 1533-position model. The record is from RNAcentral.
UCUGCCUGGUAGUGGGGGAUAACGUCCGGAAACGGACGCUAAUACCGCAUACGUCCUACGGGAGAAAGCAGGGGACCUUCGGGCCUUGCGCUAUCAGAUGAGCCUAGGUCGGAUUAGCUAGUUGGUGGGGUAAUGGCUCACCAAGGCGACGAUCCGUAACUGGUCUGAGAGGAUGAUCAGUCACACUGGAACUGAGACACGGUCCAGACUCCUACGGGAGGCAGCAGUGGGGAAUAUUGGACAAUGGGCGAAAGCCUGAUCCAGCCAUGCCGCGUGUGUGAAGAAGGUCUUCGGAUUGUAAAGCACUUUAAGUUGGGAGGAAGGGCAGUAAAUUAAUACUUUGCUGUUUUGACGUUACCGACAGAAUAAGCACCGGCUAACUCUGUGCCAGCAGCCGCGGUAAUACAGAGGGUGCAAGCGUUAAUCGGAAUUACUGGGCGUAAAGCGCGCGUAGGUGGUUCGUUAAGUUGGAUGUGAAAUCCCCGGGCUCAACCUGGGAACUGCAUUCAAAACUGACGAGCUAGAGUAUGGUAGAGGGUGGUGGAAUUUCCUGUGUAGCGGUGAAAUGCGUAGAUAUAGGAAGGAACACCAGUGGCGAAGGCGACCACCUGGACUGAUACUGACACUGAGGUGCGAAAGCGUGGGGAGCAAACAGGA